Molecule: non-coding RNA, 68 nt
Organism: Aedes albopictus (Asian tiger mosquito)
Lineage: Eukaryota; Metazoa; Arthropoda; Insecta; Diptera; Culicidae
Source: Rfam
UGCCCAGCAACUCCUAUCCCUACCUCCACGCGGUACCGGCCGCAAACUAUGAGCAACCUUAGGGAAGA